RNAcentral lists this ribosomal RNA (380 nucleotides) under uncultured bacterium. RNAcentral describes it as "bacterial SSU rRNA". It matches the Rfam family "Bacterial small subunit ribosomal RNA", at positions 28 to 412 of the family's 1533-position model. The record is from RNAcentral.
GACGAACGCUGGCGGCGUGCCUAACACAUGCAAGUCGAACGGGCCCUGAGGAAACGAAGGGUCAGUGGCGAACGGGUGCGUAACACGUGAGGAACUUGUCCAUCGGCGGGGGAUAGCCGGCCCAACGGCCGGGUAAUACCGCGUACGCCGGCGAGACCGCAUGGUCUUGCCGGGAAAGCAGCAAAUGCAUCGAUGGAGAGCCUCGCGGCCUAUCAGCUUGUUGGCGGGGUAAGGCCACCAAGGCGACGACGGUAGCUGGUCUGAGAGGAUGAUCAGCCACAUUGGGACUGAGACACGGCCCAGACUCCUACGGGAGGCAGCAGUGGGGAAUAUUGCGCAAUGGGGGAAACCCUGACGCAGCGACGCCGCGUGCGGAUGAA